RNAcentral lists this small RNA (76 nucleotides) under Xanthomonas vesicatoria. RNAcentral describes it as "sX9". It matches the Rfam family "Xanthomonas sRNA sX9". The record is from RNAcentral. Lineage: Bacteria; Pseudomonadati; Pseudomonadota; Gammaproteobacteria; Lysobacterales; Lysobacteraceae.
AUGUGUCGCUCGCACGCUGCGUUUCCUCCGCGCCGUCCGCACCCACCUGACGACCGCUCGCUAUGGGUGGUCAGCC